AUAAUUUUUAUAAGAUUAAUAUUUAUUAUAAUAAUUUUAUUUAUUUCAAUAAUUUUAAUUUUUAUUAAUUAUUUAUUAUCAAAAAAAGAAAAUCAAGAUCGUGAAAAAAUUUCUUCAUUUGAGUGUGGAUUUGAUGUUUUAAGGUCUUCACGUUUACCUUUUUCUAUUCAUUUUUUUAUAAUUGCUAUCUUAUUUUUAGUAUUUGAUGUAGAAGUUGUUUUUUUAAUUCCUUUAAUUAAUUCUUUUAUUUAUUUAAAUUUAUUUGAAUGAAUUUAUAUGAGAUUAAUUAUUUUAUUAAUUUUAUAUUGAGGUUUAGAAUUUGAAAAAUUUGAAGGAUCUUUAAAAUGAGUUCUUUAG
RNAcentral lists this unclassified non-coding RNA (357 nucleotides) under Aphidius gifuensis. RNAcentral's name for it is "nADH-ubiquinone oxidoreductase chain 3". The record is from RNAcentral. Lineage: Eukaryota; Metazoa; Arthropoda; Insecta; Hymenoptera; Braconidae.